Non-coding RNA from Schistosoma margrebowiei, 45 nucleotides. Lineage: Eukaryota; Metazoa; Platyhelminthes; Trematoda; Strigeidida; Schistosomatidae. The record is from Rfam.
AUCCGGCUGACGAGUCCCAAAUAGGACGAAAAGCGCGUCCUGGAU